This 412-nucleotide ribosomal RNA is filed under the name actinobacterium SCGC AAA278-M10. Its description in RNAcentral is "bacterial SSU rRNA". It matches the Rfam family "Bacterial small subunit ribosomal RNA", at positions 348 to 772 of the family's 1533-position model. Lineage: Bacteria; Bacillati; Actinomycetota; Actinomycetes. The record is from RNAcentral.
GCAGCAGUGGGGAAUAUUGGGCAAUGGAGGAAACUCUGACCCAGCGACGCCGCGUGCGGGAUGAAGGCCUUCGGGUUGUAAACCGCUUUCAGCAGGGAAUAAGCGCAAGUGAAGGUACCUGCAGAAGAAGCACCGGCUAACUAUGUGCCAGCAGCCGCGGUAAUACAUAGGGUGCAAGCGUUGUCCGGAAUUAUUGGGCGUAAAGAGCUCGUAGGUGGUUUGUUACGUCGGUUGUGAAAUUCAGGGGCUCAACCCCUGACUUGCAGCCGAUACGGGCAAGCUAGAGUUUGGUAGGGGAGACUGGAAUUCCUGGUGUAGCGGUGGAAUGCGCAGAUAUCAGGAGGAACACCGAUGGCGAAGGCAGGUCUCUGGGCCAAUACUGACACUGAGGAGCGAAAGCGUGGGGAGCGAA